This is a long non-coding RNA of Patiria miniata (bat star), 417 nucleotides long. RefSeq lists it as uncharacterized. The transcript has 3 exons. The record is from RefSeq and is a predicted model, not a curated record. Lineage: Eukaryota; Metazoa; Echinodermata; Asteroidea; Valvatida; Asterinidae.
AAGGAAGAUUAAUGAAUGAUCCAGUGUACUAGCAUCCCCUAUUUGACAGCUUUAGUUCAGGAAAUUUCCCUUUAACAGGAAAGCUUCCCUUAACAGGAUCACCACCGGGAAGGUAGCUGUCAUGAUCCCAUGUUAGUGAAAGCAGAAGGGGGGGGAGCAGAAAUUAGAUGGUGCGUGCUAGAGAUGGUAGGGGUGGAAAAGAGAGGAAAGAGGAAGCAGGGAGGAGGAAAGGUAGAUAUGAAACGGUGCGUGCGAGUGACAGAAGAAAAGAUGAGGGGUGGAGAGGAAGGAAAGAGGAUGGAGGAAAGGCAGAUGUGGAACAGUGCGUGCGUGCGUGCGUGCGUGCGUGCAGUGAGUGAGUGACGAUAGACACGGGAUGAGGGCGGGGAUGGAGGGUAGGGAAGGUAGGGGGGGUGG